Molecule: ribosomal RNA, 447 nt
Filed under: uncultured bacterium
Lineage: Bacteria
Description: partial 16S ribosomal RNA
Rfam family: Bacterial small subunit ribosomal RNA
Source: RNAcentral
AACGAACGCUGGCGGCAGGCUUAACACAUGCAAGUCGAACGCCCCGCAAGGGGAGUGGCAGACGGGUGAGUAACACGUGGGAACCUUCCUCGAUGUACGGAACAACUCAGGGAAACUUGAGCUAAUACCGUAUACGUCCGAGAGGAGAAAGAUUUAUCGCAUUGAGACGGGCCCGCGUCGGAUUAGCUAGUUGGUAAGGUAACGGCUUACCAAGGCAACGAUCCGUAGCUGAUCUGAGAGGAUGAUCAGCCACACUGGGACUGAGACACGGCCCAGGCUCCUACGGGAGGCAGCAGUGGGGAAUCGUAGACAAUGGGCGCAAGCCUGAUCCAGCCAUGCCGCGUGAGUGAAGAAGGCCUUCGGGUUGGAAAGCUCUUUUGUCAGGGACGAUAAUGACGGUACCUGAAGAAUAAGCCCCGGCAAACUUCGUGCCAGCCGCCGCCGUAA